RNAcentral lists this ribosomal RNA (245 nucleotides) under Paraclostridium sordellii. RNAcentral describes it as "partial 16S ribosomal RNA". It matches the Rfam family "Bacterial small subunit ribosomal RNA", at positions 1 to 256 of the family's 1533-position model. The record is from RNAcentral. Lineage: Bacteria; Bacillati; Bacillota; Clostridia; Peptostreptococcales; Peptostreptococcaceae.
UAUAUUUGAGAGUUUGAUCCUGGCUCAGGAUGAACGCUGGCGGCGUGCCUAACACAUGCAAGUCGAGCGAACCCUUCGGGGUGAGCGGCGGACGGGUGAGUAACGCGUGGGUAACCUGCCCUGUACACACGGAUAACAUACCGAAAGGUAUGCUAAUACGGGAUAACAUAUGAGAGUCGCAUGGCUUUUGUAUCAAAGCUCCGGCGGUACAGGAUGGACCCGCGUCUGAUUAGCUAGUUGGUAAG